UACGGGGGGGGCAAGCGUUGUUCGGAAUUACUGGGCGUAAAGGGCUCGUAGGCGGCCAACUAAGUCGGAUGUGAAAUCCCCAGGCUUAACCUGGGAACUGCAUCCGAUACUGGUUGGCUUGAAUCCGGGAGAGGGAUGCGGAAUUCCAGGUGUAGCGGUGAAAUGCGUAGAUAUCUGGAGGAACACCGGUGGCGAAGGCGGCAUCCUGGACCGGCAUUGACGCUGAGUGAGCGAAAGCCAGGGGAGCAAAACGGGG
Molecule: ribosomal RNA, 256 nt
Filed under: uncultured bacterium
Lineage: Bacteria
Description: partial 16S ribosomal RNA
Rfam family: Bacterial small subunit ribosomal RNA
Source: RNAcentral